Molecule: ribosomal RNA, 350 nt
Filed under: uncultured cyanobacterium
Lineage: Bacteria; Bacillati; Cyanobacteriota
Description: bacterial SSU rRNA
Rfam family: Bacterial small subunit ribosomal RNA
Source: RNAcentral
GAUGAACGCUGGCGGUCUGCUUAACACAUGCAAGUCGAACGAACUCUUCGGAGUGAGUGGCGGACGGGUGAGUAACGCGUGAGAAUCUGGCUGUGGGUCGGGGACAACAGAAGGAAACUUCUGCUAAUCCGGGAUGAGCCUUUUGGUAAAAGGGAAAUUGCCUGGAGAUGAGCUCGCGUCUGAUUAGCUAGUUGGUGAGGUAAAAAGCUUACCAAGGCGACGAUCAGUAGCUGGUCUGAGAGGAUGAGCAGCCACACUGGGACUGAGACACGGCCCAGACUCCUACGGGAGGCAGCAGUGGGAAUUUUCCGCAAUGGGCGAAAGCCUGACGGAGCAAGACCGCGUGGGGG